RNAcentral lists this ribosomal RNA (235 nucleotides) under uncultured Actinomycetales bacterium. RNAcentral's name for it is "partial 16S ribosomal RNA". It matches the Rfam family "Bacterial small subunit ribosomal RNA", at positions 96 to 334 of the family's 1533-position model. The record is from RNAcentral. Lineage: Bacteria; Bacillati; Actinomycetota; Actinomycetes; Actinomycetales.
UGGCGAACGGGUGAGUAACACGUGGGUGAUCUGCCCUGCACUUCGGGAUAAGCUUGGGAAACUGGGUCUAAUACUGGAUAGGAGCCAUCUUUAGUGUGGUGGUUGGAAAGUUUUUUCGGUGUAGGAUGAGCUCGCGGCCUAUCAGCUUGUUGGUGGGGUAAUGGCCUACCAAGGCGGCGACGGGUAGCCGGCCUGAGAGGGUGUACGGCCACAUUGGGACUGAGAUACGGCCCAG